Molecule: non-coding RNA, 652 nt
Organism: Oreochromis aureus
Lineage: Eukaryota; Metazoa; Chordata; Actinopteri; Cichliformes; Cichlidae
Source: the annotation of a RefSeq genome assembly
UCACAGUUUGAUAUGAUGGACUACAAGACAGGACUGCUGUUUUUAACUCUCUGCUGGGCAGGUGUUGAUGGUCAGACUCUGACUGAGUCUGAACCAGUGGUUAAAAGGCCUGGAGAAUCCCACACACUGACCUGUACAGCCUCUGGAUUCACAUUCAGUGACUACUGGAUGGCCUGGGUCAGACAGGCACCUGGAAAAGCACUGGAGUGGGUUGCAAGCCAUUAUGACAGCGCUAACAUCCGCUACUCUCAGUCAGUCCAAGGACGAUUCACCAUCUCCAGAGACAACAGCAAACAGCAGGUGUAUCUGCAGAUGAACAGUCUGAAGACUGAAGAUUCUGCUGUUUAUUAUUGUACUCGAGAGCCAGAGUGACUGAAGUUGUUUGAGCAGCUGUACCAAAUCCUGCAGUCAUUAUUCUACUUAAUUUAUUUUGCAUGGCAAUUGUAGUAUAACGAGGAUUUUACUAAUGCUACCAAGAAGUUCAUAUUGCAGAUGUGUGGGAAGCUUCUUUACAGUACUUUCAGCCAUGGUCUCCUCCAGUUGCAUCAUGUAAACGAUCUCAUUAUCAGAGGUACCCACAGUUCAGACAGUGUGGUGAUUAGAUGGUGGUGAGUUAACAAGCAGUUGUUCAUAUGUGUGGAGAUCAUUUCAG